RNAcentral lists this transfer RNA (77 nucleotides) under Candidatus Gottesmanbacteria bacterium CG1_02_37_22. Its description in RNAcentral is "tRNA-Asp". It matches the Rfam family "tRNA". Rfam says of the family: Transfer RNA (tRNA) molecules are approximately 80 nucleotides in length. The record is from RNAcentral. Lineage: Bacteria; Candidatus Gottesmaniibacteriota. RNAcentral also lists the same sequence under 3 other names.
GGGCUCGUGGUGUAGCGGUUUAACAUGUCGCCCUGUCGAGGCGAAGAUCGCCGGUUCGAAUCCGGUCGAGCCCGCAA